Molecule: long non-coding RNA, 1020 nt
Filed under: Canis lupus familiaris (dog)
Lineage: Eukaryota; Metazoa; Chordata; Mammalia; Carnivora; Canidae
Description: lncRNA (ENSCAFG00030009291.1)
Source: RNAcentral
AUGCCACCCCCGGGCGCUGUCGCGGGGGUUCGGGGACGCUGGCUCCCCAGGCGCCUACCGAGGGGCCGGGCCCCGCCUGCACCAGGUGCGAGGCGCUCUGCCUUAGGGGCUUUAGGGGCUUGCCGCCUCGGGCCCACGUGGGGCCCCGAGGGUCUCCUCUGCCGCCGCUUCCGCGCAUCCCACCCCUCAGCCUUGGGUCCUGCCUGCAUCUCUCCCUGUGGAGGCCCAACUGAGGGGGGGGGGGGAGGGGAGGCAGCUGAGGAGGGGACCUGCGCCUUUGAUCAUACUCCUCUUCCUCCUCCUAUCCCCUCCCCCCUCCUCCUCCUGUCUCCCCUCCUCCUAUCCCUUCCUCCCCCUCCUCCUCCCCUGCCCUCCCCAUCCUCCCCUCCUCUCCCCUCCCCCGUUCCCCCUUCUCCCUCUUCCUCCGCCUCCUCCCUCCACUCCUCCCUUUUCUUCCUCCUCCUGUCCUCCCUCUUAUCCCCUCCCUCCUCCUCCUCCCUCCACUCCUCCCCUCCUCCUCCUGUCCCCCCUCUCCCCCUUUCUAUCCCCUCCCUCCUCCUCCUGUGCCCCCUCCUCCCCCUUUCUAUCCCCUCCCUCCUCCUCCCUUCCCCUCCUCCGCUCUUCUUCCUCCUAUUCCCUCCCCCCUCCCCCUUCCUCCUCCUGUCCCAUCCUCCUCCUCCUCCUCCCCUCCUCCUCCUGUCCUCCUCCAUACUCCUCCCUCCUCCCCUCUCCCUCUGCUUCCCCCUCUUCUUCCCCUCUUCUUCCCCUCUUCUUCUUUCUCUCCCUCUUUCCUUCUCCCUGUCUCUCUCCCUCUCUCUCCGCCCCCCCCCCCCUCUCUCUCACACACACACACACACACACACACACACACACACACACACAGCUGGGCUGGGUGGAGAUAUUCCCAUUUCUCUCCACUGUCACUCUGGGGACAGAGGAAACAAACACACGCAGGUCCCCCCCCCCCCCCCCCCGGCUCCCCUUCUGGAAAGGCACCUGAAAGCUCUUGGCGGUGGUUGA